This is a non-coding RNA of Podarcis lilfordi (Lilford's wall lizard), 76 nucleotides long. Lineage: Eukaryota; Metazoa; Chordata; Lepidosauria; Squamata; Lacertidae. The record is from the annotation of a GenBank genome assembly.
GGAGAGUGAUUUAUCUCGGUGGUAGAGCCCCUGUUUGGCAAGUAGAAGGUCCGGGUUCAAAUCCUGGGAGUCUCCA